RNAcentral lists this unclassified non-coding RNA (1050 nucleotides) under Gigantopelta aegis. RNAcentral describes it as "uncharacterized LOC121392085, transcript variant X3". Lineage: Eukaryota; Metazoa; Mollusca; Gastropoda; Neomphalida; Peltospiridae. The record is from RNAcentral.
ACACAUUCACACAAUAGGAAGGCAGCAAAUUAAAUUCCCUGUUAUUUGUGUCAAUCUUUGAAGCAAAUCAUGAGACAUGUUUGUGAAGGAUCACAUUUAAGACCUUAAAACACACUCGUAACUUAAUAAAGACAUCUAACCCAAUAAUGUUAACCAUAAUUUCAACACAAUCAAUGUGUUUACAGUAGUUAACUCCAUACCAAAGCUUGCGAUCAGUCCUUUUAAUUGUUUAUUGUCAAGUUGCUAAUCUUGCCUGCUGAGCGGUACCUGUACUGUAUGCAGCGGUGAUUACACUGAUAACAGCGAUCUCGAGCAUGCGCAUAUUGCACUAGCCAUCGGUGUUCACAGACAGGUGGGCGCCAUAUUGAUUGGUAUCGGUUUGAUCGGUCGGUUUUCAGGGUAUAUUGUUACCACGAGUCCCACACUUAUUCUGUUAACAUUUGCAAGGAAGACUUACACCAAAAGAACAAAAGUAAAUUUGGACAUUCAUGGCUGAAUUCACACGUUCCGACGAAUGCCAGACAACUCGGCCCGGAGGACAACUCGGCCCAGACAACUCGGCCCACGUCGAGACAACUCGGCCCAGAGUUCUGAGACAACCCGGCCCACCGCGAGACAACUCGGCCCGGAGUCCAGAGACAACUUGUUGGACAAGUGUUGUUUUUUAAAUUAAAGUAUUCUUACUGAAAUAAAAGAAUGUGUUUUUGUUAGUAUUGAAUUAGUCCCACCUUAACCUAAACAUCCCAAAACGAUUUUGAGACAGGUAUUUAUAUAUUAGGGGAUUAAACAUUUAAAAUACAUUUCUUGAAUUUGUAGCAGACUUUGAGACACGUGACUAUGCGAAUAUGUGGAUCUUUAAACUUAUGUUUAUAUUUGUUAUGCCGGUUUGUCUCGGAGAGGAAGAUGCGACGGCGACAGAGGAAGGCCUUUCUAUGUUCUUUUGGUGAUUGGUGUUUUAUUUCAUUAUUAUAACUAUUUAUGUAUAUGUGUUCUGUUGGUUUUUUACGUAUAUAUGUGUGUUUAAUGUAAUAAAUGUGAGAAUUUGGCAAA